This 548-nucleotide ribosomal RNA is filed under the name uncultured fungus. RNAcentral describes it as "eukaryotic LSU rRNA". The stretch from base 197 to 350 matches the Rfam family "5.8S ribosomal RNA". The record is from RNAcentral. Lineage: Eukaryota; Fungi.
UCCGUAGGUGAACCUGCGGAAGGAUCAUUACCGAGAGCGCCCCUCCCGUACCGAAAGGUCCGGGCGGCGGCUGGGCAUUCUCACACCCUUUUUUAUGCGCACCUUUUGUUCUUCCUCGGCGGGGCGACCCGCCGACGGAACACACAUCAACCCUUUUGCAUGCAGUAUUACUUGUUCUGAUACCCUAAAUCGUUACAACUUUCAACAAUGGAUCUCUUGGCUCUGGCAUCGAUGAAGAACGCAGCGAAAUGCGAUAAGUAGUGUGAAUUGCAGAAUUCAGUGAAUCAUCGAAUCUUUGAACGCACAUUGCGCCCCUUGGUAUUCCAUGGGGCAUGCCUGUUCGAGCGUCAUCUACACCCUCAAGCACUGCUUGGUGAUGGGCGUCUGUCCCGCCUUCGCGCGCGGACUCGCCCCAAAGGCAUUGGCAGCGGUUCCGAUCGCCCUCUCGCGCAGCACAUUUGCGCUUCUCGAGGCGUCGGCUUCGCGUCCACGAAGCCCUUUUUUACCAUUUUUGACCUCGGAUCAGGAGGGAUACCCGCUGAACUUAA